RNAcentral lists this ribosomal RNA (455 nucleotides) under Escherichia fergusonii. Its description in RNAcentral is "bacterial SSU rRNA". It matches the Rfam family "Bacterial small subunit ribosomal RNA", at positions 19 to 470 of the family's 1533-position model. Lineage: Bacteria; Pseudomonadati; Pseudomonadota; Gammaproteobacteria; Enterobacterales; Enterobacteriaceae. The record is from RNAcentral.
AUGGCUCAGAUUGAACGCUGGCGGCAGGCCUAACACAUGCAAGUCGAACGGUAACAGGAAUCAGCUUGCUGAUUCGCUGACGAGUGGCGGACGGGUGAGUAAUGUCUGGGAAACUGCCUGAUGGAGGGGGAUAACUACUGGAAACGGUAGCUAAUACCGCAUAAUGUCGCAAGACCAAAGAGGGGGACCUUCGGGCCUCUUGCCAUCGGAUGUGCCCAGAUGGGAUUAGCUUGUAGGUGGGGUAACGGCUCACCUAGGCGACGAUCCCUAGCUGGUCUGAGAGGAUGACCAGCCACACUGGAACUGAGACACGGUCCAGACUCCUACGGGAGGCAGCAGUGGGGAAUAUUGCACAAUGGGCGCAAGCCUGAUGCAGCCAUGCCGCGUGUAUGAAGAAGGCCUUCGGGUUGUAAAGUACUUUCAGCGGGGAGGAAGGGAGUAAAGUUAAUACCUUU